AUUGAACGCUGGCGGAAUGCUUUACACAUGCAAGUCGAGCGGCAGCGCGGGGCAACCUGGCGGCGAGCGGCGAACGGGUGAGUAAUGUAUCGGAACGUAUCCUUAAGUGGGGGACAACUAGUCGAAAGACUAGCUAAUACCGCAUACGAUCGAGAGAUGAAAGUGGGGGACCGCAAGGCCUCACGCUUUUGGAGCGGCCGAUAUCCGAUUAGCUUGUUGGUGAGGUAAAGGCUUACCAAGGCUAUGAUCGGUAGCUGGUCUGAGAGGAUGAUCAGCCACACUGGGACUGAGACACGGCCCAGACUCCUACGGGAGGCAGCAGUGGGGAAUUUUGGGACAAUGGGGGGCAACCCGUGAUCCAGCCAUUCCGCGUGAGUGAAGAAGGCCUUCGGGUU
Molecule: ribosomal RNA, 395 nt
Filed under: uncultured bacterium
Lineage: Bacteria
Description: bacterial SSU rRNA
Rfam family: Bacterial small subunit ribosomal RNA
Source: RNAcentral